This 834-nucleotide ribosomal RNA is filed under the name uncultured bacterium. RNAcentral's name for it is "bacterial SSU rRNA". It matches the Rfam family "Bacterial small subunit ribosomal RNA", at positions 1 to 838 of the family's 1533-position model. The record is from RNAcentral.
UAGAGUUUGAUCAUGGCUCAGGAUAAACGCUGGCGGCAUGCCUAACACAUGCAAGUCGAACGGGGUUUAUAUAACAGAACUCUCCGGAGGGAAGUUAUAUAAACCUAGUGGCGGACGGGUGAGUAACGCGUGGGGAACCUGCCCUGUACCGGGGGACAACAGCCAGAAAUGGCUGCUAAUACCGCAUAAUCCUGCGCUGCCGCAUGGCAGCGCAGGGAAAACUCCGGUGGUACAGGAUGGUCCCGCGUCUGAUUAGCUUGUUGGCGGGGUAACGGCCCACCAAGGCGACGAUCAGUAGCCGGCUUGAGAGAGCGGACGGCCACAUUGGGACUGAGACACGGCCCAGACUCCUGCGGGAGGCAGCAGUGGGGAAUAUUGCACAAUGGGGGGAACCCUGAUGCAGCAAUGCCGCGUGGGUGAAGAAGUACCCCGGUAUGUAAAGCCCUGUCAGCAGGGAAGAAAAUGACGGUACCUGACUAAGAAGCCCCGGCUAACUACGUGCCAGCAGCCGCGGUAAUACGUAGGGGGCGAGCGUUAUCCGGAUUUACUGGGUGUAAAGGGAGCGCAGGCGGCGUGGCAAGUCAGAUGUGAAAACCCGGGGCCCAACCCCGGGACUGCAUUUGAAACUGCCAUGCUGGAGUGCCGGAGAGGCAAGUGGAAUUCCUAGUGUAGCGGUGAAAUGCGUAGAUAUUAGGAGGAACACCAGUGGCGGAGGCGGCUUGCUGGACGGUAACUGACGCUGAGGCUCGAAAGCGUGCGGAGCAAACAGGAUUAAAUACCCUGGAAGUCCACCCCCGUAAACAAGAAUAACCGGUGGCCGGGGGACAUAAGUUU